Molecule: ribosomal RNA, 253 nt
Filed under: uncultured bacterium
Lineage: Bacteria
Description: partial 16S ribosomal RNA
Rfam family: Bacterial small subunit ribosomal RNA
Source: RNAcentral
UACGGAGGGUGCGAGCGUUGUCCGGAAUCACUGGGCGUAAAGGGCGCGUAGGCGGCCUGAUAAGUAGGGGGUGAAAUCCUGCGGCUUAACCGCAGGGCUGCCUUCUAAACUGUCAGGCUGGAGCACAGUAGAGGCAGGUGGAAUUCCCGGUGUAGCGGUGGAAUGCGUAGAGAUCGGGAAGAACAUCAGUGGCGAAGGCAAUCCCCUGGGCCUGCACUGACGCUCAUGCACGAAAGCGUGGGGAGCAAACAGG